This is a non-coding RNA of Triticum urartu, 829 nucleotides long. Lineage: Eukaryota; Viridiplantae; Streptophyta; Magnoliopsida; Poales; Poaceae. The record is from RefSeq and is a predicted model, not a curated record.
ACACAAAGAGCUCCACAACUAGCAUUUUAGAAAGAUUAAAUUCAUAUACUGAUCUGUAUAUAAUUGCCUAUAAUUUGCAUUUCGGCACAUGUUGGCUCAUAUUUUUCUCAGCUAGCUCAUAUAUUCAUCACAACACUAACACACGUCUUGCUUUUUUCUUAUUGCAGAGGCUGUCUAGGUGCUGUUUUGGUGUUUCCCGUGGUGCACAUGUGUGCUGCCUUUCCUACAGUGCUCUGAACCUCUGACAUUAGCAAAUGAUUUGCUUUAUCCGAAAAUGCUAGGUGGUGGCGGCAGUGUUGUGUUCAGUGGCUAAGUGCCUUUUGGUUCGUUGGUCAUUGAAAAUAUUUCACCUGAUGAAAGGGUCUUGCUUAAGCAAGAGAAAGUACUACCAAGUAUCAACUAGCUAGUUACAGAUUCACUCAUCAGCGAAGUAACUUGUAACAGCAGUGGAGUGCGGGCAUGUGCCAUAUAUCUAUUAGUAAUUUAGUACUUUCAUCGUGCUUGUGCUAGCUCCAGUUCAACGAACAUCGAGCUGUGGUACCUGAUGUAGAUGCGGAGCGGAGAAAAGACCUGAGUAGGACUAGUGAUUUUCACCUUGCAGCCCAUCCUAUUCGAAAGUGUCUAUGCCUCAGACAUGACAACUUGAUAAUUCAGAAUUUUUGUAGUGAACAAACUUAAACAAUGAUGCAUCAAUGCCAAUUGUAUUGAUUGCUUUUAUGUUGGAACACGAAAAAAUAUUUAGCUCAAUGCUUAAUCGGAAUGAAAUGUGGACCGAUGGGUAUUUGAACCUUGGUGAAGUGAUGGAUAUCAGUUGUAUUUUUUAAUGAAA